GUGCGAGGAGGGUAGUGCGAAAAUACCAAGGCUUGUCGCCUUUGCGAACCAGCUAUUGGAAUGGGUNCAAUUUAAACCNUUAACGAGGACCUAUGANAGGCAAGUCUGGUGCCAGCANCCGCGGUAAUUCCAGCUCUCAAAAUGUACUUAACCAUUGUUGCGGUUAAAAAGCUCGUAGUUGGAUCUCUGCAACGCGAAGUGGUUCGUUCAUUGAACGAUUACUUCUUCGCGUUGCUCUCUUUUGUCGGUUUUUGGCAGUGUUCCUCACGGAGUGCUGUCGUGACUGACGAGUUUACUUUGAAUUAAUUAGAGUGCUUAAAACAGGCGUUUCGCUUGAAUAGUCUAGCAUGGAAUAAUGGAAUAGGACUUCGGUUCGAUUUUAUUGGUUUUAUGGAUCGAAGUAAUGAUUAGUAGGAAUAAACGGGGGCAUUCGUAUUGUUACGUUAGAGGUGAAAUUCUGGGACCGUAGCAAGACGAUCGACUGCGAAAGCAUUUGCCAAGAAUGUUUUCAUUAAUCAAGAACGAAAGUUAGGGGUUCGAAGGCGAUCAGAUACCGCCCUAGUCCUAACCCUAAACUCUGCCAACUAGCGAUCCGUCGAUGGUAAUUUAGCCUUGAUGGGGAGCUAAUCGGAAACGAAAGUCUUCCGGUUCCGGGGNAAGUAUGGUUGCAAAGCUGAAACUUAAAGAAAUUGACGGAAGGGCACCACCAGGAGUGGAGCCUGCGGCUUAAUUUGACAAGGGC
Molecule: ribosomal RNA, 742 nt
Filed under: nematode environmental sample AGO-2003
Lineage: Eukaryota; Metazoa; Nematoda
Description: SSU rRNA
Rfam family: Eukaryotic small subunit ribosomal RNA
Source: RNAcentral